Molecule: ribosomal RNA, 352 nt
Filed under: Clostridioides difficile
Lineage: Bacteria; Bacillati; Bacillota; Clostridia; Peptostreptococcales; Peptostreptococcaceae
Description: partial 23S ribosomal RNA
Rfam family: Bacterial large subunit ribosomal RNA
Source: RNAcentral
CAAGUUAUUAAGGGUGCAGGGCGGAUGCCUUGGCACUAGGAGCCGAUGAAGGACGUGAUAAGCUGCGAUAAGCUUCGGGGAGUUGCACGUAAACUUUGAUCCGAAGAUUUCCGAAUGAGGAAACUCACUUAGAGUAAUGUCUAAGUAUCAUUAAGUGAAUACAUAGCUUAAUGAGGGGAACUCAGGGAACUGAAACAUCUAAGUACCUGAAGGAAGAGAAAGAAAUUCGAUUCCGUAAGUAGCGGCGAGCGAACGCGGAUUAGCCCAAACCAAUAAAGUUUUCUUUAUUGGGGUUGCGGACAUAUCAUAACGAAGAGGUAUCGUAAUUGAAGAGGUUUGGAAAGACCCACCA